GUCUACAGCCAUACCACCCUGAAUGUGCCUGAUCUCAGAAGCUAAGCAGGGUCGGGCCUGGUUCAUACUUGGAUGGGAAACACCAACUGCUUACAAGUGGCAGCCAGGAAGCAGAGAGA
RNAcentral lists this ribosomal RNA (119 nucleotides) under Cavia porcellus (domestic guinea pig). Lineage: Eukaryota; Metazoa; Chordata; Mammalia; Rodentia; Caviidae. The record is from RNAcentral.